GAGAUCGGUUUGUAGGUCUAGACAACAGCCUCAGAGAAAAAGUUGUUUUUCUGUCAUAAUAUAGAUCUGGUUCCUGUCUCCUUAUCUGUCUUUAGGGAGACAAAGACAAAACCACAAAAGCAAAAUGACUCAGACUAAAAAUAUAUUUGCCAUACAAACUGAAUCGCACAGACCACAAGAUCUCAAACUGACACUUGGAUAUGUGUAGGUGAGCUUUUAGGUGCUUUUGAAUGAAAUGCCAAUCUCUGACAGCAGCAUUACUAAUACAUUGUGCCGUUCUGACUAAUAAAGGCUUACUAAAGACUCUUCCUCCAGGAGUGCAUGCCUGCAUACUCCAAGAAUAUUAAUCUAUUCAAAUGAUAAUCCAAAAUGUCUUAGAAUAUAUGAAUAAUAAUGUGACAACCCAAACUUAAGCACAGGGGGGGAGGGAUCUCAAAGGAGUUCACUCUGUUCCUCUCCUUCUCUCAUUCGACAAAAAUCAGAGUGAGAGAAAGUCAUUUGCGCUGCACUGUUAAUUUGUCAUACAUUCAUUGAUUACAGACAUACAAAGUUCUGUCAUGAAACUCUAGAUGGCGCAGGGUGAUAGGUCCUUAACACAAUCUGCUUGCAAUCACAUCAUUCUCUACAGGGCACAGCUGAUUGGUUCCUGCUGUAUCAGUAGCCAAUGAGCUCGCUGCUCAACCUUCAAAAACUGGUCAGCAUUUGCUGUAGCUGUUGCAGCGCGCUUUCAGAAACCCUCCACCUUCCCCAGCUCCACCUGUAUAGAUCAGCUACGGGGGCAGAAUGAUGUAACUCGUGAAGGCCUGAUGCUGUGUGAUCAGGAAACGUCCUCUAUAAACACACAGGACUUGAAGGUCCCAUUGACAUGGAAACGCCCUUUGGGAAGACGACACCUGUUUAUGUUGGACUCCAUCCUCCAAGCGAGCAGAGGAUAUGAAGUCCAGAGCAUGCACCAUGACUCAGUGCUUCUCUCAGCCAGAGAGAGGGAGUGAGCGAAUGAGAUGUCUGAUGAACCCACAAACCCAAACCACCAUUUACAGCAAUUAAAGUCUCUCCUUCUCCCUCUGGCUCAGCGGAAGAGAACCUAAAUGACCCACUACAGGAGGACACAGAUGGGGAAUGGCUGUACAUCACCUGCCUCCAUUUGGCCCUGCAAAAACCCAAGCAGCUGCAUCUGAGAUUAACUCCUAAUUCCUUCAUGUUGACAACAACUAUUUAAAAUUACAUUAUGCAACUCAUUCAAAGAUUUAAAUUAUGAAUUUUGCAUUUUUUGAUCCAAUCUGCUCUAAGUGGGUCUAUUAAAAAGAAAACUAGAAAAAGUACAAACCUAUCAGAUUACUGCAAAUGGUUCUUAACAGUAGAAAAUUUAAGAAAGGCCCUAGAGGAUGGCAGUAAGAAGGGCAUCUGAGACUUACACUAGUUGCUUCUCUGAUAUUAAGCCUAUUUACAUUGGCAUGCCUUAAAGGGUUAGUACACCCAAAAAUUAAAUUUCUGUCAUUAAUUACUCACCCUCAUUUCGUUCCAAACCCAUAAGACCUUCGUUCAUCUUCGGAACA
Molecule: long non-coding RNA, 1556 nt
Organism: Ctenopharyngodon idella (grass carp)
Lineage: Eukaryota; Metazoa; Chordata; Actinopteri; Cypriniformes; Xenocyprididae
Exons: 3
Source: RefSeq, a predicted model, not a curated record